Molecule: ribosomal RNA, 484 nt
Filed under: uncultured bacterium
Lineage: Bacteria
Description: partial 16S ribosomal RNA
Rfam family: Bacterial small subunit ribosomal RNA
Source: RNAcentral
AUUGAACGCUGGCGGCAGGCCUAACACAUGCAAGUCGAGCGGAUGAAGGGAGCUUGCUCCUGGAUUCAGCGGCGGACGGGUGAGUAAUGCCUAGGAAUCUGCCUGGUAUUGGGGGAUAACGUCCUGAAACGGGCGCUAAUACCGCAUCCGUCCUGAGGGAGAAAGUGGGGGAUCUUCGGACCUCACGCUAUCAGAUGAGCCUAGGUCGGAUUAGCUAGUUGGUGGGGUAAAGGCCUACCAAGGCGACGAUCCGUAACUGGUCUGAGAGGAUGAUCAGUCACACUGGAACUGAGACACGGUCCAGACUCCUACGGGAGGCAGCAGUGGGGAAUAUUGGACAAUGGGCGAAAGCAUGAUCCAGCCAUGCCGCGUGUGUGAAGAAGGUCUUCGGAUUGUAAAGCACUUUAAGUUGGGAGGAAGGGCAGUAAGUUAAUACCUUGCUGUUUUGACGUUACCAACAGAAUAAGCACCGGCUAACUUCGUG